UGGAGGUUCGUAUUAGAAUAAGUUCAGUUGCCGUGAGUUGUAAUCUUUGGGGAAUGGAAACCUCUAGAUUUAACUCUGAUGAGUCAGUGAAAAUUGUUUUAUGGAUGUGAGGUUCUUUUGGAUGUUGAUGUGUUUGGUUAAAGGCAUGAUGUUGGCCUAGGCAUGUACCUUGUGUGGUUAUGAGUAUAAAUUGAUAGAAAUUUUACCUUCUUAAGGUGGACGUACAGAUGUUUUGAUGGGACGUACGUAUCAAGGAUUUGAUAUCUUAUUUAGUAUCGAGAUGUCUUAGUGGAGUUGAGUGAUUGACUUGGGAUAUAUGUUUAAAGUGGCUUUGAGAUUGGGAAUCUAUGAGCAGUUGGGAUGAGUUUGUUGUGGUAGUUAUCAAGUGUGUUUAGUACAAGUUAGUUGGUUCCUUCUAGUGCUGUGCCUUUUGUACACUGGCCUCCUAGAACUUUCCUUGCGUAUUCGAUUGGUUAACUGAUUUACGCCUAUCCCUAGUGAUGGUAGAGUAAACCUAUUCUACAGUUUUGAGUUGUGCUACCAAAUGUGAUUCGAGGAAAAUGUUUUGAGUGUCUUUUCCUCUUAUCAACAAGUUGUUGGGGCAGGGAUUUAGGUGGGGGAACCAAAGUUCGAAGUUUUGGGUUGGAGUGAUUGAGACAAUAUUUUUGGGUGGUCUCUGAGUACUAUAAUUGUUUUGAAAUCAGGGUUGUUGGUAGGAACGGAACUAGUGGUAAGUUUUUGUUGAAGCAAUUGAUUGAUGAAAUAGUUGAGAUUUUAUAUGUGUUGUAAGUGUAACUCUAAGGAUGUGGGUUUUCCUAGUUAACUGAGGAAGCGCUUAAUUUUAUUAAUUCCUAAUUCUAGCGACGGAAUUGUUUGUGUUUGGUUUGACUCAAAUGAUGCUUGCUAGACCACUGUGUGACUGAAUUGAUUGUUGGGUUUGGAAUUGAUUGUUUGUGAUACUUUUUUUAUGAACGACGCGUGCAGCAGAGUCGGCUAGGGUUUUGAAAGAGCAAGGAGUGGCCAAGGUUCGACCCUUGGUGUCGUUGUUGGUUGUUUAAAGGAAAAGACGACAUGCAUUCAAUCUUAUUGAUUAGUUAUAUUAC
RNAcentral lists this long non-coding RNA (1103 nucleotides) under Rosa chinensis. Its description in RNAcentral is "sRNA RchiOBHm_Chr2g0148691". Lineage: Eukaryota; Viridiplantae; Streptophyta; Magnoliopsida; Rosales; Rosaceae. The record is from RNAcentral.